This 442-nucleotide ribosomal RNA is filed under the name uncultured bacterium. RNAcentral's name for it is "partial 16S ribosomal RNA". It matches the Rfam family "Bacterial small subunit ribosomal RNA", at positions 338 to 795 of the family's 1533-position model. The record is from RNAcentral.
CCUACGGGAGACAGCAGUAGGGAAUCUUUCACAAUGGGCGAAAGCCUGAUGGAGCAACGCCGCGUGCAGGAUGAAGGCCUUCGGGUUGUAAACUGCUUUUAUAAGCGAGAAAUAUGAUGGUAACUUAUGAAUAAGGUUCGGCUAACUACGUGCCAGCAGCCGCGGUCAUACGUAGGAAACGAGCAUUAUCCGGAGUGACUGGGUGUAAAGAGUUGCGUAGGUGGCAUAAUAAGUAGCUAGUGAAAUCUGGUGGCUCAACCAUUCAGACUAUUAGCUAAACUGUUAAGCUCGAGACCGUUAGGGGUAACUGGAAUUUCUAGUGUAGGAGUGAAAUCCGUAGAUAUUAGAAGGAACACCAAUAGCGUAGGCAGGUUGCUGGGACGGUUCUGACACUAAGGCACGAAAGCGUAGGGAGCAAACGGGAUUAGAUACCCCUGUAGUC